RNAcentral lists this ribosomal RNA (465 nucleotides) under uncultured bacterium. Its description in RNAcentral is "bacterial SSU rRNA". It matches the Rfam family "Bacterial small subunit ribosomal RNA", at positions 28 to 359 of the family's 1533-position model. The record is from RNAcentral.
GACGAACGCUGGCGGCGUGCCUAACACAUGCAAGUCGAGCGGUCCGGCAUUUAACAUUGAGUAUUCAGCAAAGAUGACGGCUACAGAGCCGGCGUCAAGCAGAAACAUCCUUGAUAUUCACGAAUCGAAUCAAAGUUUCUGCUUCACGCUAUAUCAAGUGCCAACACAUACAGGAACUGAGUACUGAAUGUUGAAUGCCGGAUAGCGGCGGACGGGUGAGUAACGCGUGGGCAACCUGCCUCAUACUGGGGGAUAACACAGGGAAACUUGUGCUAAUACCGCAUAAUAUCAUUAUAGGGCAUCCUGUGAUGAUCAAAGGAGCAAUCCGGUGUGAGAUGGGCCCGCGUCCAAUUAGCUAGUUGGUGGGGUAACGCCACCAGGCGACGAUUGGUAGCCGAACUGAGAGGUUGAUCGGCCACAUUGGACUGAGACACGGCCCAGACUCCUACGGGAGCAGCAGUGGGG